GAAAGCUUGCUUUUGAUGGGCGUCGACCGGCGCACGGGUGAGUAACGCGUAUCCAACCUGCCCACCACUUGGGGAUAACCUUGCGAAAGUAAGACUAAUACCCAAUGACGUCUCUAGAAGACAUCUGAAGGAGAUUAAAGAUUUAUCGGUGAUGGAUGGGGAUGCGUCUGAUUAGCUUGUUGGCGGGGUAACGGCCCACCAAGGCGACGAUCAGUAGGGGUUCUGAGAGGAAGGUCCCCCACAUUGGAACUGAGACACGGUCCAAACUCCUACGGGAGGCAGCAGUGAGGAAUAUUGGUCAAUGGGCGAGAGCCUGAACCAGCCAAGUAGCGUGCAGGAUGACGGCCCUAUGGGUUGUAAACUGCUUUUAUAAGGGAAUAAAGUGAGCCUCGUGAGGCUUUUUGCAUGUACCUUAUGAAUAAGGACCGGCUAAUUCCGUGCCAGCAGCCGCGGUAAUACGGAAGGUCCGGGCGUUAUCCGGAUUUAUUGGGUUUAAAGGGAGCGUAGGCCGGAGAUUAAGCGUGUUGUGAAAUGUAGAUGCUCAACAUCUGCACUGCAGCGCGAACUGGUUUCCUUGAGUACGCACAAAGUGGGCGGAAUUCGUGGUGUAGCGGUGAAAUGCUUAGAUAUCACGAAGAACUCCGAUUGCGAAGGCAGCUCACUGGAGCGCAACUGACGCUGAAGCUCGAAAGUGCGGGUAUCGAACAGGAUUAGAUACCCUGGUAGUCCGCACGGUAAACGAUGGAUGCCCGCUGUUGGUCUGAAUAGGUCAGCGGCC
Molecule: ribosomal RNA, 778 nt
Filed under: uncultured bacterium
Lineage: Bacteria
Description: bacterial SSU rRNA
Rfam family: Bacterial small subunit ribosomal RNA
Source: RNAcentral